Molecule: non-coding RNA, 23 nt
Filed under: Arabidopsis thaliana (thale cress)
Lineage: Eukaryota; Viridiplantae; Streptophyta; Magnoliopsida; Brassicales; Brassicaceae
Source: RNAcentral
AGAAGGGCUCAUACCCGUUCCUA